This 369-nucleotide ribosomal RNA is filed under the name uncultured bacterium. Its description in RNAcentral is "bacterial SSU rRNA". It matches the Rfam family "Bacterial small subunit ribosomal RNA", at positions 29 to 396 of the family's 1533-position model. The record is from RNAcentral.
AUUGAACGCUGGCGGAAUGCUUUACACAUGCAAGUCGAGCGGCAGCGCGGGGGCAACCCUGGCGGCGAGCGGCGAACGGGUGAGUAAUACAUCGGAACGUGUCCUUAAGUGGGGGAUAGCUCGGCGAAAGCCGGAUUAAUACCGCAUAAGCUCUGAGGAGGAAAGCGGGGGCUCCGUAAGGACCUCGCGCUGUUGGAGCGGCCGAUGUCGGAUUAGCUAGUUGGUGGGGUAAAGGCCCACCAAGGCGACGAUCCGUAGCUGGUCUGAGAGGAUGAUCAGCCACACUGGAACUGAGACACGGUCCAGACUCCUACGGGAGGCAGCAGUGGGGUAAUUUUGGACAAUGGGCGCAAGCCUGAUCCAGCCAUG